RNAcentral lists this ribosomal RNA (595 nucleotides) under Pantherophis vulpinus (Eastern fox snake). Its description in RNAcentral is "partial 12S ribosomal RNA". The record is from RNAcentral. Lineage: Eukaryota; Metazoa; Chordata; Lepidosauria; Squamata; Colubridae.
AUAAUAUUAACGGCGUAAAGAACGACCAAUAGUAUGUCUAAAUAUUAGGAGCGAAGCUAAACUAGGCUGUAAAAAGCCAUAAGUCACACUAACCACACCCUAACAAAAAACAACUACCACUCGUGAAAGCCGGGAUACAAACUAAGAUUAGAUACCUUACUAUGCCCAGCCAUAACACAACAGUUAAAUCACCAAUUGUUCGCCAAAUAACUACGAGUAAAAACUUAAAAUUUAAAAGACUUGACGGUAUCUCAAAACAACCUAGAGGAGCCUGUCUAAUAACCGAUACUCCACGAUUAACCCAACCUACCCUAGCCUAACAGUCUAUAUACCGCCGUCGCCAGCCUACCUUGUGAAAGAAACAUAGUGAGCCAAAUAGUCACACACUAAUACGACAGGUCGAGGUGUAACUCAUGAGUGGGUCAAAGAUGGGCUACAUUUUCUUAACACAGAAAACACGGAUAAAUCUAUGAAAUAGAAACUGAAGGCGGAUUUAGCAGUACAGUGGGAACAAUAUACCCAAUAGAAAUUAACGCAAUGAGAUGCGUACACACCGCCCGUCAUCCCUGUUAACACAACCAAAAACAUAAAUAAU